GACGAACGCUGGCGGCGUGCUUAACACAUGCAAGUCGAACGGAAAGGCCCUGCUUUUGUGGGGUGCUCGAGUGGCGAACGGGUGAGUAACACGUGAGUAACCUGCCCUUGACUUUGGGAUAACUUCAGGAAACUGGGGCUAAUACCGGAUAGGAGCUCCUGCAUCAUGGUGGGGGUUGGAAAGUUUCGGCGGUUGGGGAUGGACUCGCGGCUUAUCAGCUUGUUGGUGGGGUAGUGGCUUACCAAGGCUUUGACGGGUAGCCGGCCUGAGAGGGUGACCGGCCACAUUGGGACUGAGAUACGGCCCAGACUCCUACGGGAGGCAGCAGUGGGGAAUAUUGCACAAUGGGCGGAAGCCUGAUGCAGCAACGCCGCGUGCGGGAUGACGGCCUUCGGGUUGUAAACCGCUUUCGCCUGUGACGAAGCGUGAGUGACGGUAAUGGGUAAAGAAGCACCGGCUAACUACGUG
This 468-nucleotide ribosomal RNA is filed under the name uncultured bacterium. Its description in RNAcentral is "partial 16S ribosomal RNA". It matches the Rfam family "Bacterial small subunit ribosomal RNA", at positions 28 to 507 of the family's 1533-position model. The record is from RNAcentral.